RNAcentral lists this unclassified non-coding RNA (311 nucleotides) under plant metagenome. RNAcentral describes it as "partial contains 5.8S ribosomal RNA, internal transcribed spacer 2, and large subunit ribosomal RNA". The stretch from base 1 to 105 matches the Rfam family "5.8S ribosomal RNA", at positions 50 to 154 of the family's 154-position model. The record is from RNAcentral.
GAAAUGCGAUAAGUAAUGUGAAUUGCAGAAUUCAGUGAAUCAUCGAAUCUUUGAACGCACAUUGCGCCCGCCAGUAUUCUGGCGGGCAUGCCUGUUCGAGCGUCAUUUCAACCAUCAAGCCCCCCCGGGCUUGCGUUGGGGUCCUGCGGCUGCCCGCAGGCCCCGAAAUGCAGUGGCGGGCUCGCUGUCACACCGAGCGCAGUAGCGUACCUCCCGCUCUGGGCGUGGCGGCGGGCGCCGGCCGUGAAACCCCCAUAAUGACCCCUAAAGGUUGACCUCGGAUCAGGUAGGAAUACCCGCUGAACUUAAGC